UACGUAGGGAGCAAGCGUUGUCCGGAAUCAUUGGGCGUAAAGCGCGCGUAGGUGGCCCCAUAAGUCCGCUGUGAAAGUCAAAGGCUCAACCUUUGAAAGCCGGUGGAUACUGUGGGACUAGAGUACGGAAGAGGCGAGUGGAAUUCCUGGUGUAGCGGUGGAAUGCGCAGAUAUCAGGAGGAACACCAAUAGCGAAGGCAGCUCGCUGGGACGUUACUGACGCUGAGGUGCGAAAGCGUGGGGAGCGAACAGG
This 253-nucleotide ribosomal RNA is filed under the name uncultured bacterium. Its description in RNAcentral is "partial 16S ribosomal RNA". It matches the Rfam family "Bacterial small subunit ribosomal RNA", at positions 524 to 776 of the family's 1533-position model. The record is from RNAcentral.